This 718-nucleotide ribosomal RNA is filed under the name Pycnosphaera buchananii. RNAcentral's name for it is "eukaryotic LSU rRNA". The stretch from base 276 to 431 matches the Rfam family "5.8S ribosomal RNA". Lineage: Eukaryota; Viridiplantae; Streptophyta; Magnoliopsida; Gentianales; Gentianaceae. The record is from RNAcentral.
GUAACAAGGUUUCCGUAGGUGAACCUGCGGAAGGAUCAUUGUCGAAUCCUGCGAAGCAGACGACCAGUGAACCUGUUUAACCCACGGGCGUCGGGAAGUGGGAAACCACGGAUCGGCGCUCCACGCACGGCGACGGCCAUCGGUCGAUCGUCGGGCGGAGAACUUAAACCGGGCGCGGCAAAGCGCCAAGGAAAACGAAGAAAGGAUGGCCAUCCUCUCCGUGCCCCGUACGCGGUGAGCAUGGGAGGACCCGGUCGCCCGUAUGAAACUAAAACGACUCUCGGCAACGGAUAUCUCGGCUCUCGCAUCGAUGAAGAACGUAGCGAACUGCGAUACGUGGUGUGAAUUGCAGAAUCCCGUGAACCAUCGAGUCUUUGAACGCAAGUUGCGCCCGAAGCCAUCCGGCCGAGGGCACGUCUGCCUGGGCGUCACGCAUCGCGUCGCCCCCCAACCCCGUCACGUCCUGCGUGCACGGGUCGUGUCAGGGGGGCGGAAAAUGGCUUCCCGUCUCUUCGGUGCGGCUGGCCUAAAUUUGAGUCCCUUUCGACGGACGCGACGACCAGUGGUGGUUGACUGUCUCAACUCGAGUGCUGUCGCGCGAGGACCCGUCGGGAGACGAGACUGCUCCGACCCUACAGCAUACGUCGUCCUGCGACACGUGCAACGACCGCGACCCCAGGUCAGGCGGGACUACCCGCUGAGUUUAAGCAUAUCAAUA